This 485-nucleotide ribosomal RNA is filed under the name Debaryomyces hansenii. RNAcentral's name for it is "partial large subunit ribosomal RNA". It matches the Rfam family "Eukaryotic large subunit ribosomal RNA", at positions 122 to 575 of the family's 3401-position model. The record is from RNAcentral. Lineage: Eukaryota; Fungi; Ascomycota; Pichiomycetes; Serinales; Debaryomycetaceae.
CUGGCACCUUCGGUGUCCGAGUUGUAAUUUGAAGAAGGUAACUUUGGAGUUGGCUCUUGUCUAUGUUCCUUGGAACAGGACGUCACAGAGGGUGAGAAUCCCGUGCGAUGAGAUGCCCAAUUCUAUGUAAAGUGCUUUCGAAGAGUCGAGUUGUUUGGGAAUGCAGCUCUAAGUGGGUGGUAAAUUCCAUCUAAAGCUAAAUAUUGGCGAGAGACCGAUAGCGAACAAGUACAGUGAUGGAAAGAUAGAGACCGAUAGCGAACAAGUACAGUGAUGGAAAGAUGAAAAGAACUUUGAAAAGAGAGUGAAAAAGUACGUGAAAUUGUUGAAAGGGAAGGGCUUGAGAUCAGACUUGGUAUUUUGCGAUCCUUUCCUUCUUGGUUGGGUUCCUCGCAGCUUACUGGGCCAGCAUCGGUUUGGAUGGUAGGAUAAUGACUAAGGAAUGUGGCUCUACUUCGGUGGAGUGUUAUAGCCUUGGUUGAUAC